ACUUUUAAUGGACAACAGUGAUCCAA
RNAcentral lists this transfer RNA (26 nucleotides) under Agama parafricana. Its description in RNAcentral is "partial tRNA-Leu". The record is from RNAcentral. Lineage: Eukaryota; Metazoa; Chordata; Lepidosauria; Squamata; Agamidae.